GAGUUUGAUCGUGGCUCAGGAUUAACGCUAGCGGCAGGCCUAAUACAUGCAAGUCGUACGGUAACAGGUGUAGCAAUACAUGCUGACGAGUGGCGCACGGGUGCGUAACACGUAUGUAAUCUGCCUUUAACUGGGGAAUAACCCCUCGAAAGAGGGGCUAAUACCGCAUAACAUCACCGGACGGCAUCGCCUGGUGAGCAAACCUACGGGGGUUAAAGAUGAACAUGCGACUGAUUAGUUAGUUGGCGGGGUAACGGCCCACCAAGACAGCGAUCAGUAGGGGAUCUGAGAGGAUGAUCCCCCACACGGGUACUGAGACACGGACCCGACUCCUACGGGAGGCAGCAGUAAGGAAUAUUGGACAAUGGAGGCAACUCUGAUCCAGCCAUGCCGCGUGAAGGAUGAAUGCGCUAUGCGUUGUAAACUUCUUUUAUACGGGAAAAAUAUCCCGCGUUCUCGCGGGAUUGAUUGUACUGUAAGAAUAAGGGUC
This 490-nucleotide ribosomal RNA is filed under the name uncultured Sphingobacterium sp. RNAcentral's name for it is "bacterial SSU rRNA". It matches the Rfam family "Bacterial small subunit ribosomal RNA", at positions 9 to 494 of the family's 1533-position model. Lineage: Bacteria; Pseudomonadati; Bacteroidota; Sphingobacteriia; Sphingobacteriales; Sphingobacteriaceae. The record is from RNAcentral.